This is a long non-coding RNA of Microtus oregoni (creeping vole), 1074 nucleotides long. RefSeq lists it as uncharacterized. The transcript has 2 exons. NCBI's taxonomy places the organism in Eukaryota, Metazoa, Chordata, Mammalia, Rodentia, Cricetidae. The record is from RefSeq and is a predicted model, not a curated record.
UCUCCUUGUGGCCAUAGAAACCAUGCCGGCUUUUUCUGCAACAGUGUUCUGGGGAAGGGUUAUUUAGCUCUGGCUUCUGAGGCUCCCUCCAUCACACGAACCUUUCUCCUUUCACGAGGUCGGAGCGCACCAGGCCCUCUGAGUCCCUGUGAGAUGGGAUGCCGUUCAAGCAAAGGCACCGAAGUCGUAGAGGAGUCCCAGAAACCUGGAGAUCACCCUGAGGGGGGAGAGCCGAAGGUGGAGCCUGGCGCUGAGGCAGUGAAUGGCAAGGACACCUCAGUGAAGGAAGGAGCGACUGAGCUGAAGAGCUGACCCUUUUUCUUGAGUGGACCCUCACCUCAUCCCUGGAACAGCCUUCAGCCUCAUCCAGCAAAGAGGACAAAAGAUGGCUUCGUUCUUCUUGGGCCUUUCCCACAGCUGCUGGAAAGAGAGAAACAUGUAGACUGACUUUCCUGAUCCAGACUAUAUGCUUCUGACUGUGACUGUCUCUCACGGGGUCUGCCUCCGUUUCCCAGAAUUCUGAAGGCUCUGUACCUACGACAACGAUGGGAACUAUGGAUCUUGGUUUGGUCUUAAUCUCUUUCCCCUCCUUUUCAACAGCUGACUGAACAGCCAGCAUGCCUGACAGGAAGCUUUUGCAUUUGGCUCUCUCCGUGUUGUUUGCAUGAAUAAUUUAAUAUUUAACUUGCAGUAUCAUUAAUGAAUUAUGGAAAUAAUCAGGAUUGGGCAGGAUUCCGUGAAUGGACAGCGAUAGGGGCUUGGGCUCACAACAAGUAGAGUAUUGAGCCCUGGCCGGGAGGUGGGGGGGAUUCACAUUUCCGGUUAUUAAAUCUCUGGAAGGGUCUCCCUGUUAGCUUGUCUUCUGCUAUCAAAAGUCUGUCAAUUUGAGCCCUCUAGCAUCUGAGCUGUCUGCAUCUAGCCUUAAAAAAUAUUUUGCUGUUUACUAACAAUGAGUCUGCCAGCCUUUCUUUCUCCCCCCCCCCCAAUGCGUUUUGUUUUUAAUGCAACCCCAAAGCAUUUUCCAUCUGAAAUCAAACAGACAUGUUUGCAAAUAAACGAUGACACAUCACAGUA